Long non-coding RNA from Corvus hawaiiensis (hawaiian crow), 621 nucleotides. RefSeq lists it as uncharacterized. Lineage: Eukaryota; Metazoa; Chordata; Aves; Passeriformes; Corvidae. The record is from RefSeq and is a predicted model, not a curated record. The transcript has 3 exons.
UGUUCCAACCAUAAAAGGCUGGUCCUAUGUGAAGUUGCCACACUGCAUUUGGCUUAGUCCUCUGAGGUUGGAGAGCCUAUAGCUUUUUAUGUGGAUAAAUCCAGUGAUGGAUGGAAAUACUAAAGGCAGAUCAAGGAAUAACACUGUUGAGGACUUCAGAUGGCAGCGAACUCUUAAAAGGAGAUUUUCACUAAUAAAUUUUUUGCUCUGAUGUUUGGAAUCAGCACUUGGAUAUAGCUCCUGCAUAUUUACUGCAUUUGGUGAACGCAUGCUUUUAGGAAAGCGCUGUUCUAAAUUUAUCUGACUUAUCUGAAUCAUCUUGACUGCACAUGUACUUGCCAGCCAUGCAUGUUGGUAUUUGGUAACUUUUGUGAAGUCACUUUUCUGUUUUCUGAGCGGGUGAGUGUUAGGUCCUUGGGAAAAGAAUCUUAGCUGACGCGAGAAACUUCUUUAAAACAAGAAUUAUGAAGUACUUGGCCAAAGAGAGCUUCAGGCAUUAUCAGUAACUAUUUUGAGAAGACUUUGACCCCUUUUGCUGCAUCUGUACCUUCUUUCUGUCCUCUUUGUGUAAAGGCAGACAAGUGGAUUUUUUACAGGAUUCUGAAAUUUUGCAAAAGGAAA